GACGAACGCUGGCGGCGUGCUUAACACAUGCAAGUCGAACGAAGAGCGAUGGAAGCUUGCUUCUAUCAAUCUUAGUGGCGAACGUGUGAGUAACGCGUAAUCAACCUGCCCUUCAGAGGGGGACAACAGUUGGAAACGACUGCUAAUACCGCAUACGAUCUAACCUCGGCAUCGAGGAUGGAUGAAAGGUGGCCUCUAUUUAUAAGCUAUCACUGAAGGAGGGGAUUGCGUCUGAUUAGCUAGUUGGAGGGGUAACGGCCCACCAAGGCGAUGAUCAGUAGCCGGUCUGAGAGGAUGAACGGCCACAUUGGGACUGAGACACGGCCCAGACUCCUACGGGAGGCAGCAGUGGGGAAUCUUCCGCAAUGGACGAAAGUCUGACGGAGCAACGCCGCGUGAGUGAUGACGGCCGUCGGGUUGUAAAGCUCUGUUAAUCGGGACGAAAGGCCUUCUUGCGAAUAGCUAGAAGGAUUGACGGUACCGGAAUAGAAAGCCACGGCUAACUACGUG
This 510-nucleotide ribosomal RNA is filed under the name uncultured bacterium. RNAcentral describes it as "partial 16S ribosomal RNA". It matches the Rfam family "Bacterial small subunit ribosomal RNA", at positions 28 to 507 of the family's 1533-position model. The record is from RNAcentral.